Molecule: ribosomal RNA, 406 nt
Filed under: uncultured bacterium
Lineage: Bacteria
Description: partial 16S ribosomal RNA
Rfam family: Bacterial small subunit ribosomal RNA
Source: RNAcentral
AUUGAACGCUGGCGGCAGGCUUAACACAUGCAAGUCGAACGAGUGGCGGACGGGUGAGUAAUGCCUGGGACUCUAGCUUAUGGAGGGGGAUAACUACGGGAAACUGUAGCUAAUACCGCGUACCAUAGGAUGAGCCCAAUUGGGAUUAGUUAGUUGGUGAGGUAAAGGGUCACCAAGCCGACGAGCUCUAGCUGGUCUGAGAGGAUGACCAGACAAACUGGGAGUGAGACACGGCCCAGACUCCUACGGGAGGCAGGAGUGGGGAAUAUUGCGCGAGGGGGGCAACCCGGACGCAGCCAUGCCGCGUGAAUGAAGAAAGCCUUCGGGUUGUAAAGUUCGUUCAGAGGGGAGGCGUUACCCGCAGAAGAAGCACAGGCUAACUCCGUGCCAGCAGCCGCGGUAAUAC